Leguminivora glycinivorella is the source of this 416-nucleotide long non-coding RNA. RefSeq lists it as uncharacterized. NCBI's taxonomy places the organism in Eukaryota, Metazoa, Arthropoda, Insecta, Lepidoptera, Tortricidae. The transcript is spliced from 4 exons. The record is from RefSeq and is a predicted model, not a curated record.
AAUGCAAUGCAAUGGACAUGUGUUUCGUUGUGGUUCUCAUCAAGAUAAUAGAAGAAUCUAGUGCUCAUACUCAUGAUCUAAUGAGCAAACAGCCCAUGCAAAGGAUGUCUUAUCGGGCUAUGCCUCAAUUGAUAAAGUGAACUAAUUGCCUACUUCAAAAGCAGUUUUGCAUGAAAGUCAACAUCUAAUUGGAAUUUACAAUGCCCGAUAUUUCUACACAUCUGCCACAAAUUUUAUGGAAAACAAUAUUUAUAGAAACUGAACAUACCUUGGUUAAACGUAUAUGAAAUGGGUAACCAUCCUCGAAGAAUAUCAACCAGCUGUCGGCAAUGUGCAGGUGGACUGAGGAAUUUUCCAGUGUAUCCUUUAUGGACUGUACUCCGUUCUAGCACUAUCCUCAAGUUUUACCCGAGAGG